AACGAACGCUGGCGGCAUGCCUAACACAUGCAAGUCGAACGAUUGCCUUCGGGUGAUAGUGGCGCACGGGUGCGUAACGCGUGGUAAUCUGCCCUUAGGUUCGGAAUAACAGCUGGAAACGGCUGCUAAUACCGGAUGAUAUCGCGAGAUCAAAGAUUUAUCGCCUGAGGAUGAGCCCGCGUUGGAUUAGGUAGUUGGUGGGGUAAAGGCCUACCAAGCCGACGAUCCAUAGCUGGUCUGAGAGGAUGAUCAGCCACACUGGGACUGAGACACGGCCCAGACUCCUACGGGAGGCAGCAGUGGGGAAUAUUGGACAAUGGGCGCAAGCCUGAUCCAGCAAUGCCGCGUGAGUGAUGAAGGCCCUAGGGUUGUAAAGCUCUUUUACCCGGGAAGAUAAUGACUGUACCGGGAGAAUAAGCCCCGGCUAACUCCGUG
This 435-nucleotide ribosomal RNA is filed under the name uncultured bacterium. RNAcentral describes it as "partial 16S ribosomal RNA". It matches the Rfam family "Bacterial small subunit ribosomal RNA", at positions 29 to 507 of the family's 1533-position model. The record is from RNAcentral.